UCUGCUGCUUCCUGCUUGUACUCUGACAAGAGUUCUUCCUUGUUUUUACAAGUAGAGUUCAGCCUUGCAUCCGGUCCCAUCCUGUUGAUUCCCAUGUGGCUACAUGAGUGCCUGAAGUUACAUUUUAGAUGCUGAAAUCACUGCACCUUAAAAACAACACACACACAAAAAGAUUGAGCUGCACUGCAUUCCUGAGAUGAAUGGGCUGCUGAAGAAAAAUCUGAAAACAAGGUAUCAGUUGCUCUUUGAGGACAAUCAUUUAACGGUGAGCAACAACCAUAACUUUGGAAGCCAGGUUCAUGGCAGAAGC
Long non-coding RNA from Eublepharis macularius, 310 nucleotides. RefSeq lists it as uncharacterized. NCBI's taxonomy places the organism in Eukaryota, Metazoa, Chordata, Lepidosauria, Squamata, Eublepharidae. The record is from RefSeq and is a predicted model, not a curated record. The transcript has 3 exons.